RNAcentral lists this long non-coding RNA (437 nucleotides) under Triticum aestivum (bread wheat). Its description in RNAcentral is "long non-coding RNA (TAES_LNC005633)". The record is from RNAcentral. Lineage: Eukaryota; Viridiplantae; Streptophyta; Magnoliopsida; Poales; Poaceae.
UAGCAGGACAAGCUAAUUCAUUUGCAUGCAGAGCAACAAUAACAAUACUCCAAACAUACCAAGGGACGUCACACUGGAAAAACAAUGCAACCAACGGGUUCUCUCCAGUGGCAAAAUUGACUAUUUUUGAACUUGCACAACAUCUAAACAAGAACUACAUGAUACACAAUUUUCCAUCAUGCACCUCCUAUCCUGAGCAUAAAUGAAAUGAGAGAAGGGUAUCCAGAACAUCUAAACAAGAACUUGCAAUUUUUUCCAUCAUGCUACCAGAGAUUCUGCCUUCUCCCCUGGCCCUGAAACAAGAGCACCAUCAGUUUAGUUUUAAACAAAUUGAAAGUUCAAACAUGAGGCAUGUAGUUUUUCAAAUGAUGAAAGUCACAGAACUGAGCUAUUUUUGUUUUACUUCAAAUAAUUCAACAUGAAAAGGACAAAUACAG